Molecule: ribosomal RNA, 299 nt
Filed under: uncultured beta proteobacterium
Lineage: Bacteria; Pseudomonadati; Pseudomonadota; Betaproteobacteria
Description: partial 16S ribosomal RNA
Rfam family: Bacterial small subunit ribosomal RNA
Source: RNAcentral
CACGAGCGCACCCUUGUCCUUAGUUGCUACGCAAGAGCACUCUAAGGAGACUGCCGGUGACAAACCGGAGGAAGGUGGGGAUGACGUCAAGUCCUCAUGGCCCUUAUGGGUAGGGCUUCACACGUCAUACAAUGGUCGGAACAGAGGGCUGCCAACCCGUGAGGGGGAGCUAAUCCCAGAAAACCGAUCGUAGUCCGGAUCGUAGUCUGCAACUCGACUACGUGAAGCUGGAAUCGCUAGUAAUCGCGGAUCAGCAUGCCGCGGUGAAUACGUUCCCGGGUCUUGUACACACCGCCCGU